UACGGAGGGUGCAAGCGUUAUCCGGAUUUAUUGGGCGUAAAGAGCGUGUAGGCGGCCUGAAAGGUCAGCUGUGAAAACUCGAGGCUCAACCUCGAGACGUCGGUUGAAACCAUCUGGCUAGAGUCCGGAAGAGGAGUGUGGAAUUCCCGGUGUAGCGGUGAAAUGCGCAGAUAUUGGGAGGAACACCAGUGGCGAAGGCGGCUACCUGGACCGGUUCUGACGCUGAGGCGCGAAAGCGUGGGGAGCAAACAGG
RNAcentral lists this ribosomal RNA (253 nucleotides) under uncultured bacterium. Its description in RNAcentral is "partial 16S ribosomal RNA". It matches the Rfam family "Bacterial small subunit ribosomal RNA", at positions 524 to 776 of the family's 1533-position model. The record is from RNAcentral.